UACGGAGGGUGCAAGCGUUGUCCGGAUUUAUUGGGUUUAAAGGGUGCGUAGGCGGAAGAUUAAGUCAGAGGUGAAAGUUUGCGGCUCAACCGUAAAAUUGCCCUUGAUACUGGAUUUCUUGAGUAUAGUUGAGGUAGGCGGAAUUCAUGGUGUAGCGGUGAAAUGCAUAGAUACCAGGAAGAACACCGAUAGCGUAGGCAGCUUACUAAACUAUAACUGACGCUGAGGUACGAAAGCGUGGGUAGCGAACAGG
This 253-nucleotide unclassified non-coding RNA is filed under the name uncultured Cytophagales bacterium. Its description in RNAcentral is "contains 16S-23S intergenic spacer region". It matches the Rfam family "Bacterial small subunit ribosomal RNA", at positions 524 to 776 of the family's 1533-position model. The record is from RNAcentral. Lineage: Bacteria; Pseudomonadati; Bacteroidota; Sphingobacteriia; Sphingobacteriales.